Molecule: ribosomal RNA, 459 nt
Filed under: uncultured bacterium
Lineage: Bacteria
Description: partial 16S ribosomal RNA
Rfam family: Bacterial small subunit ribosomal RNA
Source: RNAcentral
CCUACGGGUGGCAGCAGUGAGGAAUAUUGGUCAAUGGCCGAGAGGCUGAACCAGCCAAGUCGCGUGAGGGAAGAAUGUCUUAUGGAUUGUAAACCCUUUUUGUCAGGGAGCAAAGUCACCCACGUGUGGGAGUUGGAGAGUACAUGAACAUAAAGCAUCGGCUAACUCCGUGCCAGCAGCCGCGGUAAUACGGAGGAUGCGAGCGUUAUCCGGAUUUAUUGGGUUUAAAGGGUGCGUAGGGGGGUUAUCAAGUCAGCGGUAAAAUCGUGGAGCUAAACUCCAUACAGCCGUUGAAACUGAUGAUCUUGAGUGGGCGAGAGGUAGGCGGAAUGCGUGGUGUAGCGGUGAAAUGCAUAGAUAGCAAGAAGAACUCCGAUUGCGAAGGCAGCAUACCGGCGCCCGACUGACGCUGAGGCACGAAAGCGUGGGUAGCGAACAGGAUUAGAUACCCUUGUAGUC